GACGAACGCUGGCGGCGUGCUUAACACAUGCAAGUCGAACGGAAAGGCCCUGCUUUUGUGGGGUGCUCGAGUGGCGAACGGGUGAGUAACACGUGAGUAACCUGCCCUUGACUUUGGGAUAACUUCAGGAAACUGGGGCUAAUACCGGAUAGGAGCUCCUGCUGCAUGGUGGGGGUUGGAAAGUUUCGGCGGUUGGGGAUGGACUCGCGGCUUAUCAGCUUGUUGGUGGGGUAGUGGCUUACCAAGGCUUUGACGGGUAGCCGGCCUGAGAGGGUGACCGGCCACAUUGGGACUGAGAUACGGCCCAGACUCCUCCGGGAGGCAGCAGUGGGGAAUAUUGCACAAUGGGCGAAAGCCUGAUGCAGCAACGCCGCGUGCGGGAUGACGGCCUUCGGGUUGUAAACCGCUUUCGCCUGCGACGAAGCGUGAGUGACGGUAAUGGGUAAAGAAGCACCGGCUAACUACGUG
RNAcentral lists this ribosomal RNA (468 nucleotides) under uncultured bacterium. RNAcentral describes it as "partial 16S ribosomal RNA". It matches the Rfam family "Bacterial small subunit ribosomal RNA", at positions 28 to 507 of the family's 1533-position model. The record is from RNAcentral.